GUGCUGAUCUUCCAUUCCAUAUGCAUUAUGAGCGGAUGAGCCACCAAGUUGAUGUUAACACGGACAACCAAGUCCCUGAGGUCCAAGUCCAAGUCAAGCCUCAAGUCCCUGAGGUCCAAGUCAAGCCUCAAGUCCCUGAGGUCCAAGUCAAGUCUCAAGCUUCUGAAGUCCAAGUCAAGUCUCAAGCUUCUGAAGUCCAAGUCAAGUCUCAAGCUUCUGAAGUCCAAGUCAAGGCUCCAGUCUCGGAAGUCCAAGUCAAGUCUCAAGUUCCUGAUGUCACGCCCAAGUCUACCGACCCGGGCGCCCAAGUUCAGCCCACGCCCA
Ictalurus punctatus (channel catfish) is the source of this 324-nucleotide long non-coding RNA. Lineage: Eukaryota; Metazoa; Chordata; Actinopteri; Siluriformes; Ictaluridae. The record is from Ensembl.